This is a long non-coding RNA of Bos taurus (domestic cattle), 1644 nucleotides long. NCBI's taxonomy places the organism in Eukaryota, Metazoa, Chordata, Mammalia, Artiodactyla, Bovidae. The record is from Ensembl.
AUGCCCACCUCAUCACGUUAGCCGGGCUGAGUUUUCAUGACAGUCCAGGGGAGGGCGACAGGACCAUCUUGCUGUAGACCCAGCACUUCGACUCAGUUUCCAUGAAGCCACGGUUCUUAGCCCAGAGCCUUUCUUAAGACAUGUCGUUCAAUGAUGCACCGUCCCACCCUAAAACAAAUGCGAACCGGCACUGCUUUCCUGAGAAGAGUGUGAGGAGACAAAACCCUAGAAAGAGCUGAGGCUUGCAAAAACUUACUAAGGACAAGAAAAAAGGGCUUUUUGAGCUAUGUUUGGAGCCAGAAGGAAAAGGAAGGGAUUGGGAACAGAUGAUGCAAUUCGAGCAGAUGACAGCAAGAAAGCAGAAGUUCUCCACUCAAAUUUUGCUUCCACCUUCUCCCCUAAGGAACGCGAUGUAAAGCCGGAAAGGAUCAAGCCUGCAUUGUGAAGAAUGAAUUAAGCAUUAAUUUUGGAAGAGGAAUUCAGGGUGACUGCGUACACUGGGGGGAGGUGGGGAUGACUCAGAUGGCUCCUGGGACCAGGAAGGCAAACUGCAAGAGUGAGGCGGGUGCAGCUGUGGCUUCUGAGGAGACCAGCGGGCUGGGGAGCACAGCUGAGACAGAAAGGGGCCAUCUCGUCUGUACACUCUCCCAGGCAAGCCAGACCCUGACGGGUUUUAUACUCAAAUUGCCCCAGUUUUAAAUGCCGGCAUGAAAUUCAGGAUUUGUUCAAAAUGCUGUGCAGACCCAAAGAAUACUCAUCUGCAGAGGAGACUCAGCCCAAGGCUGACAUUUUGGAAAUUUUGGUCUAAGAUAAUUCAGCUCCGCAGGGCAUCUGGUAGAUACAGCUUCAACGAAUACUGCCAAUGGCGGACAGUAAAAAAACCAGGUCCAUGACAGGUCACGGGAAAAUGUUGUCCAAGGUUUCUGAAAGGGUCAAGGAGGAUCCUCAGAAGUAGACUAGCCCUUCACCUUGACUUUCAGAAAAUUCAAGAACAGGUUACUGAGGAUAGAAAAUACUGGAAGAAAGGCAGGCAUGGGGCCCAGUUGCCGCUAUGGCUUAAGAUCAAGGCUUUUAUAAAGGACUAGCAGACUGGGAGUUCAAGGAAAUGGUGUAGAAAUGGCUUAAAAGGCAUGAGACAACAUCUCAGCCAGGAGAAAUUUGGCCUAGUUCGCAAAGAGUCGGACACGACUGAGCGACUGAACUGAACUGAACUGAACUGACAGUAAGCGGAGGUGAAUCUGUAGCUGGAUAACCAACCAUUCAAAUCUCACAGACCAACGGCCACCAGGAGCAAGUGCUUAGAAUCAUUUCACAGGAGGCCAGCGUUUUACGUGUUUUCAUUAACUAUUUGGAUGAAGAAGUGAACAGAGUAUGUCUUAAAAACAUACUUGAGAACAUACAGUCUUAUUUUUUAAAUCAGAUGACUUGUGCUUACAUUUCAGCGUCACUGUUGCUGGCUGCAUAGCCUUGGCCAACCAACUUUCUCUCUCUGAUUUUUAGUUUUCUCUCUAGCAAAGUGGAAGCCAUAAUGGGUUCUAGGUCUAGUAGGUGCUGUGAGAAAGAAAUGGGUUGACGCAAGUGCGGGGCUUCAUUUUCCCAGGGGAAACGAAGAUCUCCUGGACCUGGCAAAGAUGUUCUCUGCUG